UGGCCAUAUUGGUGCUGCUGUACCAUAGU
RNAcentral lists this non-coding RNA (29 nucleotides) under Mus musculus (house mouse). The record is from RNAcentral. Lineage: Eukaryota; Metazoa; Chordata; Mammalia; Rodentia; Muridae.